UCCCCAUUCCUUUGUAACUAAACAAGACAAUACAAAAUGAACACGCACCUUGGUCAUACGCUAGUUGUAUCUUUAUUGUUUUCCACCUUGCUUACUAACAUUUCAGUGGUGCAGUUACCAUACACAAGAGUUAGAUUAAGAGUAUCUGCAUUGCACACCUAAAGGCUAUACAGCAAAAUGGUUCCAAAUUAGUACAAAUACAUGAAGUCUAUUUACAGUUUGUAUACCCAAGCUCCAAACAUCAUCAGUUAUAUAUUUACAAAAUAAAACAUGGGGUUUGCCAGGGAGGGGAUGGAGUGGGGUUGGGACCCCCCCCCCCAAAAAAAAAAGGUGUCAAAAAUCAAAUUGUUAACAUCAAAACAUGUUCUGGGAUGGAUUCCUUCCACCGGGAUGAGAUCGGUUCCAAACGGGGAAAAAGAAAUAGAGAAUUGGAUCCAAAAGGCCACUUCAGUUGGGCAGCAAAAAAAAGGGGAGGGGGAGGUAUGUGAAUGGAACAGCAGGUGCUUGUUAAAAAAAAUAAAAUACCUCUGCAAAUGUACAAAGGGAGUGGAUCCUAAGAGGAAAACUGCAAAGCACAAAGGAUUUGGGUCAGGGGCACCCAACCGUAGCCGCUUUAAGACCUGUUGGACUGCAACAUGGCUGGCUGGGGAAUUCUGGGAGUUGCAGUCCAACAGGUCUUAAAGUAGCCACAAUUGGAUGCCCCAGAUUUAGGUAAUAAAUAAGGAAUUGGGCUGGGUCUUGCAAGCAGGUUGAAGUUCCACCAAUGCUGCUCUGGGAAGCAGAGAAGAAUCUAAAGCUUCAAAAUCCGGCCUUCAUUUCGGCCGGUUGUCUUCCGACGUGCCUGGAUGGAUUGGAACCCUGCACCGAAGUGGCCCUUGGAGCCAAAAAAAAAAAUGAAAGAUUUUCCUCCCUGUCCUUUCUCCCCUUUCCCCAGGGCUAGUGAGGAAGCACAGCGUGAAAUACGUUCCUGACCCUUUUCUAAAAAGUGCCAGACAGGUGCUAGCCACCAACGAGGCAGGAGGAAUGGUAGCGGAGAACUGUUUUCCCCGGACAAACUGAGGUCCUGUUUCAGAUACAUUCAAAGAACCUUUCAAGCAGCAGCAGUUAAUUUUUUUUCCAUUAUUCCCCUGUUAUUUAAAAGCAGCAUGUUAGAAAUAAAUAAUUAAAACAAAAACAAAAAACGACCCGAACAGAAUGGGAAAUUUAUAUUGUACCGUGUGAUGCCUGGGCAGACAACAGGAUUAAUUCAUGGCAGAUCAUACAAGAGGGAGAGGAGAACAAUGAGAGGUUGAAGUUUAUGUACAAGGAAAGCGAUCACAAAUACACAUCCCUUUACACGUACACACAAAAAAUACAAAUUAAAUAAUUCCUACAGUGCAUCGGACGAACAAAGCAGAAGGAAGGAAAACGACUUUGCUUGGAAAAGAACCAUCAGGAAUUCGCUUCGUUCCUUGGCAGCCCUUUCUAAUUUAAAGUAAUUUAAUGACCAAGGGGGAAACUGGGCACAAGAAUUAAAAGUAUGCUGUUUGUUUGCAAAGACAGAUAGGAUAUAAAGAAAUAAAAGGAUGAAAUCAACUGACUCCAAUUGAAAGAAAGGAGCAGCUGAUUCUGAGAUUGCCGUCAGGGUGAAAGUCUUGGCUUCAGCUCCUGCCAUUUAACCGCAGAGGAGACGAUGCCAAUGGUCCUUGCUUGGAGCUGCAGGGCCUGCGCAGAGGGUUGGCUGGCCCGUGGCAGCAGCCCUGCAGCUCCGGAGACCGGCCCGAAGAGCUGGCUGGCUCUAGGCCGCGUCGGCUGCUUAAAGCUUUCUACAUCCAGCUUCUGCCGAAAUUUAGCUUAAUUUCUUUUUUAAAGUGAAGCACAGAGGCGGAGUUUCUUUCUCUGCUUUGCAGGAAAGCAGGGCUGGUUGAAUUUUAGGAUGGGUUAAGGACUUCCAAAGGAAAGGGGGGGGGGAAAUCAUCUUAAUUCCCUUACAUUUAUUUUAAAUCAACCGCCGCACAGCCAGAUCCGGAGCAUCUAAAAUAAGCAACAGAAGGCGGCUUUAAGAUUUACACUGAACCUCUUGCUCACGUAAAGGUUGGCCCAAGCUGAGGUGGUGCCCUCAGUUAUGCUGUGCCCUUCUGACUCCUUAAUGCUCCUAUAGAGCACUUUAUAUAAUUCUUCCCUUGUUACAUAUGGAGUGGUUUUUCCAGAGCAAAUUUUCCCACCAGCUUUGUUCCAAGCUCAACAAACAGUUACAGGAGUGUAGUAGACACACUAUUGCCCAAAAAAACGUUUCCUUUCCCAGCUUCAGACAAGAUUCCUUGUGUGUGUGUGUGUGUGUGCGCGCACGCUAAGUAGUGUAUCUCACCGUACGGUUGGGAGUCCCACUGCUAAGACUCCGUUUUAGUGCAAUAAACCCAAAGCAAUCAAACCAAAUGCAUAGCUAUGUCCCAUUUUACUUCCUUUACAGGCCCCCUUCAUUCUAUGCCAGGGGCAUCCAAGCUUGGCAACAUGGAAGACCUGUGGACUUCAACUCUCAGAAUUCCCCUUUUGGGGGACUGUGGACUGUGAAGUCCACAGAUCUUCCAAGUCGCCAAGCUUGGACGCCCCUGCUCUGCGCAGAAGUGGCACAGAAAAUGCUCAGAAAAUCUCCCCGACUCUGCGUCACAGCAAACUCUGUGGGCUACCACGGCAGAAUUAAAAGGAGGAUUUCCCCACUCCACCCCCAAAUGAAAAAGCCCCUUCCUCCAGGGCCCCUAGCCAGGGGGGGUCUCACUAAGGCAUUGAUCUGAAGACAGGAGGUUGGGGGGGGGGGAGCUACAACUGCGGCCAAGCCCAAUGGCGAUUGAAUGCACAAGAAUUGAAACCACCGUGCAUGGUAUUAUUUUUUUGGGGGGGGGGAGAAUCAGAUUUUUGCCUUUCUCUGGACAGAUCAGUGAUUACCAAGGUUCUUUGUGGGCCCAAGUUUUGCAGAGAUGCUAAAGACUAAUGCUAAAAGUUUUGCAGAGAUGCAAAAUGAGAGAGAGACACAUACCUUUGUGUGUGUGUGUGUGUGUGUGUGUGUGUGUGUGCGCAUGCAUGCACUAGUUUAGAAAGCCCAUGAGGUCACAUUUUUCCUUGCCAGCCUGCAGGCAAAAGCCAGAAGGAGUGCAUCCACUUCCACCAUAAGCUAACCGAGAAAGGGGGAGGCUGGCUGGAUUUCCUGGUAAGUAGGGAGCAUUCAGCCACGUGAGACCCGCCUGGCUGCAGUUUGAAUACGAAUUUCUUGGAGGUUCUGCAAAGGAAAAACAGGAAUGUCUACUGUGGAACCCCCAAAGGGAGAGAUGCUCCUGCAGGAGACAAUCAGU
Molecule: long non-coding RNA, 3326 nt
Filed under: Laticauda laticaudata (blue-ringed sea krait)
Lineage: Eukaryota; Metazoa; Chordata; Lepidosauria; Squamata; Elapidae
Description: lncRNA (ENSLLTG00000015188.1)
Source: RNAcentral